CGGCGAACGGGUGAGUAACACGUGGUUAACCUGCCGAGAUGUGGGGGAUACCCCGGGGAAACCCGGGCUAAUACCGCAUGAUGUCUUCCGGGCGUCGGCCUGGAAGAGCAAAGCCGGGACCGCAAGGCCUGGCGCAUUUCGAGGGGACCGCGGCCGAUUAGCUAGUUGGCGGGGUAACGGCCCACCAAGGCGACGAUCGGUAGCCGGCCUGAGAGGGUGAUCGGCCACACCGGAACUGAGACACGGUCCGG
Molecule: ribosomal RNA, 251 nt
Filed under: uncultured bacterium
Lineage: Bacteria
Description: partial 16S ribosomal RNA
Rfam family: Bacterial small subunit ribosomal RNA
Source: RNAcentral